GGAAGUAAAAGUCGUAACAAGGUUUCCGUAGGUGAACCUGCGGAAGGAUCAUUAAAGAGUAAGGGUGCUCAGCGCCCGACCUCCAACCCUUUGUUGUUAAAACUACCUUGUUGCUUUGGCGGGACCGCUCGGUCUCGAGCCGCUGGGGAUUCGUCCCAGGCGAGCGCCCGCCAGAGUUAAACCAAACUCUUGUUAUUAAACCGGUCGUCUGAGUUAAAAUUUUGAAUAAAUCAAAACUUUCAACAACGGAUCUCUUGGUUCUCGCAUCGAUGAAGAACGCAGCGAAAUGCGAUAAGUAAUGUGAAUUGCAGAAUUCAGUGAAUCAUCGAAUCUUUGAACGCACAUUGCGCCCCUUGGUAUUCCGAGGGGCAUGCCUGUUCGAGCGUCAUUACACCACUCAAGCUAUGCUUGGUAUUGGGUGCCGUCCUUAGUUGGGCGCGCCUUAAAGACCUCGGCGAGGCCUCACCAGCUUUAGGCGUAGUAGAAUUUAUUCGAACGUCUGUCAAAGGAGAGGACUUCUGCCGACUGAAACCUUUAUUUUUCUAGGUUGACCUCGGAUCAGGUAGGGAUACCCGCUGAACUUAAGCAUAUCAAUAAGCGGAGGAA
This 606-nucleotide ribosomal RNA is filed under the name Aureobasidium pullulans. RNAcentral's name for it is "eukaryotic LSU rRNA". The stretch from base 235 to 388 matches the Rfam family "5.8S ribosomal RNA". The record is from RNAcentral. Lineage: Eukaryota; Fungi; Ascomycota; Dothideomycetes; Dothideales; Saccotheciaceae.